RNAcentral lists this ribosomal RNA (253 nucleotides) under uncultured bacterium. RNAcentral's name for it is "partial 16S ribosomal RNA". It matches the Rfam family "Bacterial small subunit ribosomal RNA", at positions 524 to 776 of the family's 1533-position model. The record is from RNAcentral.
GACGUAGGUGGCGAGCGUUAUCCGGAUUUACUGGGCGUAAAGCGCGUGCAGGCGGUUCGGUAAGUCGGGCGUGAAAUCUCCUGGCUCAACUGGGAGAGGCCGUCCGAUACUACCGGACUUGAGGGCAGCAGAGGGAGGUGGAAUUCCGGGUGUAGUGGUGAAAUGCGUAGAUAUCCGGAGGAACACCGGUGGCGAAAGCGGCCUCCUGGACUGCACCUGACGCUCAUACGCGAAAGCUAGGGGAGCGAACGGG